GGAAACAAGGGCGUAUGGUGGAUGCCUUGGCUUCAAAAGGCGAUGAAGGACGCAGCUUGGCGGCGAUACGCUUCGGGGAGGUGCCUAGCAACCUUUGAUCCGGAGAUGUCCGAAUGCGGAAACGCAGUGCGAGUAAUCGCAUUACCUGCUUAGAUUUUUGGGAAAAAAAAGCAGACUUUAACCGGUCUGCAAGCGGUGACAUAUACUUUUAAGCGUUAGUUGAGUGAUAGUAAAUUCACUCUGUCAGCUUCUCUCCAGAAGCUGAUAUGGCAAUCUUCCGGAUUUGCUUCAGGGAAGAAAUGUCUUAUUGUUGAGUGAAGUCUUUUUACGGAGACAAGACCGUCACGACCAAUCAAAUUGUCACGCGUUGUAGUUUGUUGCUGGCCGUAAUGAAUAGUCAGGUUGAUUUUGUUGUUCAUAACACGAGGAUCUAAAGUCAAGAUACUCUUACAAUUCAAAUAUGUCAAUUAUUGAUUGACCCCAAAAAUCUAAGCAGGAGUAGACCCGGGGAAGUAAAACAUUUCAGUACCCGGAGGAAAAAAAACUAAUAAGAAUUCCGUCAGUAGCGGCGAGCGAAAGCGGAAAUAGCCCAGAUCACCGUGCACAGCACAGAAAUUCCAAAAUCCAAAUCUCAAAUUCCAAACAAUAAUUAAAUUCCAAUUCUCAAAAAUUAAAUUUUGAUUAUUGAAAUUUGUUUGGAGCUUGGUUAUUGGAGCUUGGUGUUUCCGCGCUGUGCGCGGGGAAGUUGUAAGACGAAGAUGCCCCGAUGUUACAUCGGGGGAAAAGUUACAAAAUAUUUGGUUAGCCGAAGCCGCUGGAAAGCGGCCCCCUAGAGGGUGAUGGGCCCGUAGGCGAAAACUAAAUGUCUUUUUUGUCUUUGUUCUUGAGUAACUCAGGACACGAAUAGCUUGAGUGAAUCCGCCGGUACUAACCGGCAAGGCUAAAUACUUUUGAAGACCGAUAGUGAACUAGUACCGUGAGGGAAAGGUGAAAAGCAGCCCGGUGAGGGCGGUGAAAUAGACCUGAAACCAUAUGCUUACAAAGAGUUAUAGCCGUGCUUCGCACGGAAUUUCCAAGUUUCAAUAACCAAGUUCCAAACAAUAAUUAAUUUUUAAUAUUAAAUUUUAAGAUUUGUUUGAGAUUUGGAAAUUGUAAUUUGGAACUUCCGCGCGGAGCGCGGUGGUAGCGUGCCUAUUGAAGAAUGAGCCAACGAGUUGAUGUAUGCCGCGUUAGGUUAAGCCCGCGAGGGCCAAGCCACAGGGAAACCGAGUGUUAAUAGCGCGUAUGCCGUGCUUCGCACGGAAUUUCCAAGUUCCAAUAACCAAGUUCCAAACAAUAAUUAAUUUUUUAACAUUAAAUUUUAAGAUUUGUUUGUGAUUUGAAAAUUGUGAUUUGGAACUUCCGCGCGGAGCGCGGUGGUGGUAUAUAUCAGACCCGAAGCCGAAGCGAGCUUGCCAUGAGCAGGAUGAACCCCGCAGAAAUGCGGGGGAAGGUCCGAACGCUAGAGCUGUGCAAUACUCUGCGAUGACUUGUGGUAAGAAGUGAAAAGCUAAUCGAGCUCGGUAAUAGCUGGUUCUCU
This 1579-nucleotide ribosomal RNA is filed under the name Candidatus Taylorbacteria bacterium RIFCSPLOWO2_02_FULL_44_35. RNAcentral's name for it is "partial 23S ribosomal RNA". It matches the Rfam family "Bacterial large subunit ribosomal RNA", at positions 1 to 858 of the family's 2925-position model. The record is from RNAcentral. Lineage: Bacteria; Candidatus Tayloriibacteriota.